This 329-nucleotide ribosomal RNA is filed under the name uncultured bacterium. RNAcentral's name for it is "bacterial SSU rRNA". It matches the Rfam family "Bacterial small subunit ribosomal RNA", at positions 568 to 898 of the family's 1533-position model. The record is from RNAcentral.
CGCGUAGGUGGUAGUGCAAGUCUGGGGUGGAAUCCUAUGGCUUAACCAUAGAAUUGCCUUGGAAACUGUAUUACUUGAGUCAGUGAGGGAGGGUAGAAUUCCUGGUGUAGCGGUGAAAUGCGUAGAUAUCAGGAGGAAGGCCUGUGGCGAAGGCGGCCCUCUGGCGCUGAACUGACACUGAGGCGCGAAAGCGUGGGGAGCAAACAGGAUUAGAUACCCUGGUAGUCCACGCCCUAAACGGUGGGCACUAGGUGUAGGGCUCGUAAGGGUUCUGUGCCGAAGCGAAAGCAUUAAGUGCCCCGCCUGGGGAGUACGGCCGCAAGGUUGAA